RNAcentral lists this long non-coding RNA (504 nucleotides) under Gallus gallus (chicken). RNAcentral describes it as "long non-coding RNA NONGGAT006781". Lineage: Eukaryota; Metazoa; Chordata; Aves; Galliformes; Phasianidae. The record is from RNAcentral.
CGAGAUUUCAAGUUUCUCCUUGAUGUAUCAAAUCCUUGAUGUAAACAAAUGUAUCUGUGUAUUACUCUACAGUAUAGUAAUGCUGCAAGAAGGAAUUGGCACUCAUCUAGCAUGGAGCUAUGUCAUACUGAUACUGCUUCAUAGCAUCAAUUCAAGUUUUACAUCACCAACUCAUCAUGCUUUGGAAAAAAAUGAAGUGGCAGCCAGCAAAUUUAUCACGAAACUGAAAGAUGCAUCUGAAGCUCUUUUAAACUUCUUCAGGCCAGUGACUUGCCGAUACAAAGAAAAGCACUCCUUAGUCCCUUGUCAUGUAGGAGGGAGCAUUAAUGCAACAGAAUGCUUGGAAAAUAGAUGUUGUCCUUCCAAAGGCAACCAUGAACUGAAAUGUUAUAUCCCAUUUAAAGACGAUCUGCAACUGACGUUUCGACUGUUUUUGCUUGGGGCGGUAGGAUUUUUAAUUUUGGGUUGUCUACCAUUAUGUUGCUGUGCCUGCUUGCAGAGGAG